Molecule: long non-coding RNA, 523 nt
Organism: Leopardus geoffroyi (Geoffroy's cat)
Lineage: Eukaryota; Metazoa; Chordata; Mammalia; Carnivora; Felidae
Exons: 4
Source: RefSeq, a predicted model, not a curated record
GGCGGGGCCGUUGCGUCCUGACCGGGGCGUGGCCUUAUGGAAAUGAGGCCGCGGUGGGCGCGCUAGAAUUCUACCGGGCGGUAGAAUUCCCCGGGCUGUGGAAGUGCCCGAGCUGUGGCUCGGCUUGUCUGAGGACGACGUGUGUGGGUCAAAAGAAGAGGAGAGGUUGCAUUGAAAAGACUUUGGGGGAACAUAAUACAGUGGCUGUUACCUUGCUCUCCUUGAAUUGAUUUGCCUGUGCGGUCCUGCAGAUCAGAAGUCUGGAUGACGAGGCUGCUUCUCUGCUCACAGAAUUGAUGAGAGCCCGGCUGAGCCCACACUGGAAACAGAGGACCGAGGGAGCCGAUGGAAGACAGAAAAUCAGCAGGGGUGGAGCAUGAGAAUAACCCAGAGAAGGACAAAGGUAAUGGUGGAACGGUGGUUGCCCAAGGACCUGAGAAGACGGGCAAGUUGAGCUCAGAACAAUCUGGAGAAACUGAGGAAUGCGUACAGUAGCAUCCAAGUCUGCAAGGAGCAGCCUGAG